RNAcentral lists this long non-coding RNA (992 nucleotides) under Triticum aestivum (bread wheat). RNAcentral's name for it is "long non-coding RNA (TAES_LNC027956)". The record is from RNAcentral. Lineage: Eukaryota; Viridiplantae; Streptophyta; Magnoliopsida; Poales; Poaceae.
AUUUCUUGAUGGAAAUACAUAUAUAUUGGUGAAUACACAUCAUCUUUAUUUUAACCCAUAUACAUUUAUUAGCUCUGCGAACAUGGUCUUUAGAUUUGCAGGAGAGAACCUGAGGAUGUUAUUUUUUGGUAGUACACAUGCCAUUGCAAACCUAGCUAGAUCCCUUCUCUCCAAUUAAUGCCAUCUGAAUUAAUCCACGGAUCCGUUUCCAUCGUGUGUCAUUAGGAGGUCCCUUGAACAAGCAAAAGCACAAUACAUAACAUUUCAAUUGCAUAUGUUUUCCAAAACGAUCAUGAGUAUAAUAAAAGGAUAAAAUAUGUCUAAAGUCCAAACUCUAGAGUAUGAUAUAUUCCGCUUCUUGGAUAGGGUUGGAGUUGAGUACCUCUGUAUUGCCAAGGGUGGAGAAAAGUGCCUCAUCACCAUAAUUUCCUUGUUGGUAAGCUUCAUUUCCUUCGAGACAAAUCCUGUUUCUUAAAAAUAGCACAACAAAAACAGCCAGUUCUUAAACAUGGUCUAUGCUUUCAGAUUUCCUCGUUGGUUCCAAUCCUGAUUUUCCAGCUUCUUCUUGAGUGUCCACGUUUGCUUCUAAUCAAAAGAAUAUGCUGCAUUAGUGUACGAAUUUCAAUAGCAGUUUCGUCAGGUAUCAUGACAUCUUGUAAUUUGUGAUUCUAACAAUUACUGUCUUACCUGCAAUUGCUAAACUUAUACAGUGAAAAUACAUUUCUAUGUUGAAAGAACUUCUAUCAAUUCGAUCAUACCAAUAUUUUAGCUGAUGCCAUUACAAGAAAAAUUAGCUGCAAGCAGAACCUGAGAUACUGAGUAUACAUACUUGUGAGCUAAUCUAUUUUUUCAGUUAAUUUAAUAAAACUGAUUUAAUGGACCAUAAAGUCCAGAGUCUCAAAUCUCUGAACUCGGAUAACAAUAGCAGCAUAGUAUUGUGGUUGUAUCAGAAAGGUAACUUACACAUCAUAUCCUUCUAUCUCUUUGUGGUC